ACGGGAGUAGCAAUACUCCAGUGGCGGACGGGUGAGUAACGCGUGAGAAUCUACCUUCUGGUCGGGGACAACCACUGGAAACGGUGGCUAAUACCGGAUAUGCCGCAACGUGAAAGAUUUAUCGCCAGAAGAGGAGCUCGCGUCUGAUUAGCUAGUUGGUAGGGUAAAAGCCUACCAAGGCAUCGAUCAGUAGCUGGUCUGAGAGGACGAUCAGCCACACUGGGACUGAGACACGGCCCAGACUCCUACGGGAGGCAGCAGUGGGGAAUUUUCCGCAAUGGGCGAAAGCCUGACGGAGCAAGACCGCGUGAGGGAAGAAGGCUCUUGGGUUGUAAACCUCUUUUGUCAGGGAAGAACACAAUGACGGUACCUGACGAAUCAGCCUCGGCUAACUCCGUGCCAGCAGCCGCGGUAAUACGGAGGAGGCAAGCGUUAUCCGGAAUUAUUGGGCGUAAAGCGUCCGUAGGUGGCUAGUCAAGUCUGCGGUCAAAGACUGGGGCUUAACCCUGGAAAGGCCGUGGAAACUGACAAGCUAGAGUGCAGUAGGGGUAGAGGGAAUUCCCGGUGUAGCGGUGAAAUGCGUAGAGCUCGGGAAGAACAUCGGUGGCGAAAGCGCUCUACUGGACUGCAACUGACACUCAGGGACGAAAGCUAGGGGAGCGAAUGGGAUUAGAUACCCCAGUAGUCCUAGCCGUAAACGAUGGAUACUAG
Molecule: ribosomal RNA, 711 nt
Filed under: uncultured cyanobacterium
Lineage: Bacteria; Bacillati; Cyanobacteriota
Description: bacterial SSU rRNA
Rfam family: Bacterial small subunit ribosomal RNA
Source: RNAcentral